AGCGAACGCUGGCGGCAGGCUUAACACAUGCAAGUCGAACGGGCGUAGCAAUACGUCAGUGGCAGACGGGUGAGUAACGCGUGGGAACGUACCUUUUGGUUCGGAACAACCCAGGGAAACUUGGGCCAAUACCGGAUAAGCCCUUACGGGGAAAGAUUUAUCGCCGAAAGAUCGGCCCGCGUCUGAUUAGCUAGUUGGUGUGGUAACGGCGCACCAAGGCGACGAUCAGUAGCUGGUCUGAGAGGAUGAUCAGCCACAUUGGGACUGAGACACGGCCCAAACUCCUACGGGAGGCAGCAGUGGGGAAUAUUGGACAAUGGGCGCAAGCCUGAUCCAGCCAUGCCGCGUGAGUGAUGAAGGCCCUAGGGUUGUAAAGCUCUUUUGUGCGGGAAGAUAAUGACGGUACCGCAAGAAUAAG
RNAcentral lists this ribosomal RNA (418 nucleotides) under uncultured bacterium. RNAcentral's name for it is "bacterial SSU rRNA". It matches the Rfam family "Bacterial small subunit ribosomal RNA", at positions 29 to 490 of the family's 1533-position model. The record is from RNAcentral.